CUAUACAUGCAGUCGUACGCUUCUUUUUCCACCGGAGCUUGCUCCACCGGAAAAAGAAGAGUGGCGAACGGGUGAGUAACACGUGGGUAACCUGCCCAUCAGAAGGGGAUAACACUUGGAAACAGGUGCUAAUACCGUAUAACAAUCGAAACCGCAUGGUUUUGAUUUGAAAGGCGCUUUCGGGUGUCGCUGAUGGAUGGACCCGCGGUGCAUUAGCUAGUUGGUGAGGUAACGGCUCACCAAGGCCACGAUGCAUAGCCGACCUGAGAGGGUGAUCGGCCACAUUGGGACUGAGACACGGCCCAAACUCCUACGGGAGGCAGCAGUAGGGAAUCUUCGGCAAUGGACGAAAGUCUGACCGAGCAACGCCGCGUGAGUGAAGAAGGUUUUCGGAUCGUAAAACUCUGUUGUUAGAGAAGAACAAGGAUGAGAGUAACUGUUCAUCCCUUGACGGUAUCUAACCAGAAAGCCACGGCUAACUACGUGCCAGCAGCCGCGGUAAUACGUAGGUGGCAAGCGUUGUCCGGAUUUAUUGGGCGUAAAGCGAGCGCAGGCGGUUUCUUAAGUCUGAUGUGAAAGCCCCCGGCUCAACCGGGGAGGGUCAUUGGAAACUGGGAGACUUGAGUGCAGAAGAGGAGAGUGGAAUUCCAUGUGUAGCGGUGAAAUGCGUAGAUAUAUGGAGGAACACCAGUGGCGAAGGCGGCUCUCUGGUCUGUAACUGACGCUGAGGCUCGAAAGCGUGGGGAGCAAACAGGAUUAGAUACCCUGGUAGUCCACGCCGUAAACGAUGAGUGCUAAGUGUUGGAGGGUUUCCGCCCUUCAGUGCUGCAGCUAACGCAUUAAGCACUCCGCCUGGGGAGUACGACCGCAAGGUUGAAACUCAAAGGAAUUGACGGGGGCCCGCACAAGCGGUGGAGCAUGUGGUUUAAUUCGAAGCAACGCGAAGAACCUUACCAGUCUUGACAUCCUUUGACCACUCUAGAGAUAGAGCUUCCCCUUCGGGGCAAGUGACA
This 1013-nucleotide ribosomal RNA is filed under the name Enterococcus faecium. RNAcentral's name for it is "bacterial SSU rRNA". It matches the Rfam family "Bacterial small subunit ribosomal RNA", at positions 49 to 1036 of the family's 1533-position model. Lineage: Bacteria; Bacillati; Bacillota; Bacilli; Lactobacillales; Enterococcaceae. The record is from RNAcentral.